GAAAUGCGAUAAGUAAUGUGAAUUGCAGAAUUCAGUGAAUCAUCGAAUCUUUGAACGCACAUUGCGCCCCUUGGUAUUCCGAGGGGCAUGCCUGUUCGAGCGUCAUUACACCACUCAAGCACUGCUUGGUAUUGGGCAUCGUCCGUCGAAAGACGGGCGUGCCUCGAAGACCUCGGCGGGGCCUAACCGGCUUCGGGCGUAGUAGAGUUAAAUCGAACGUCUUAUAAGUCUGGUUAGAACCCAUUGCCGUAAAACCUUUAUUUUUCUAGGUUGACCUCGGAUCAGGUAGGGAUACCCGCUGAACUUAA
This 308-nucleotide unclassified non-coding RNA is filed under the name uncultured Scleroconidioma. RNAcentral's name for it is "sequence contains ITS1". The stretch from base 1 to 105 matches the Rfam family "5.8S ribosomal RNA", at positions 50 to 154 of the family's 154-position model. The record is from RNAcentral. Lineage: Eukaryota; Fungi; Ascomycota.